GAUGAAGAACGUAGUGAAAUGCGAUAACUAGUGUGAAUUGCAGAAUUCCGUGAAUCAUCGAGUCUUUGAACGCACAUUGCGCCCCCUGGUAUUCCGGGGGGCAUGCCUGUCCGAGCGUCAUUGCUGCCCAUCAAGCACGGCUUGUGUGUUGGGUCGUCGUCCCCUCUCCGGGGGGGACGGGCCCCAAAGGCGGCGGCGGCACCGCGUCCGAUCCUCGAGCGUAUGGGGCUUUGUCACCCGCUCUGUAGGCCCGGCCGGCGCUUGCCGAACGCAAAUCAAUCUUUUUCCAGGUUGACCUCGGAUCAGGUAGGGAUACCCGCUGAACUUAAGCAUAUCAAUAAGCGGAGGA
Molecule: unclassified non-coding RNA, 349 nt
Filed under: soil metagenome
Description: partial contains 5.8S ribosomal RNA, internal transcribed spacer 2, and large subunit ribosomal RNA
Rfam family: 5.8S ribosomal RNA (bases 1-120)
Source: RNAcentral